AAAACAGGGUCUGUCACCUUCCAGGGCACACUGGGGCUGAGGGACCACCUACAGCAGGGAGAGAUGGGACAGGCCAUUUUCCUGUUUAACAUGGAAGAAAAGAACAAUGAAAAUAUGGAACUGAAGCACGCUCAAUGUUUGUAA
RNAcentral lists this long non-coding RNA (144 nucleotides) under Junco hyemalis (dark-eyed junco). Its description in RNAcentral is "lncRNA (ENSJHYG00000003090.1)". The record is from RNAcentral. Lineage: Eukaryota; Metazoa; Chordata; Aves; Passeriformes; Passerellidae.